UAUUCUUGCUAGGACUAGAAGACUUUGAA
RNAcentral lists this non-coding RNA (29 nucleotides) under Rattus norvegicus (Norway rat). The record is from RNAcentral. Lineage: Eukaryota; Metazoa; Chordata; Mammalia; Rodentia; Muridae.